Molecule: ribosomal RNA, 119 nt
Filed under: Pteropus alecto (black flying fox)
Lineage: Eukaryota; Metazoa; Chordata; Mammalia; Chiroptera; Pteropodidae
Source: RNAcentral
GUCUACAGCCACGCUGCCCCGAACGAGCCCGAUCCCGUUAGAUCUCGGAAGCUAAGCAGGGUCGGGCCUGAUCAGUACUUGGAUGGGAGACCACCUAGGAAGACCGGGUGCUGUAGGUG